GGAGGAAAAAUCAGCAGUACCCCAGCAGUGACAACACAGCCGACAACUACAACUAUCACGGACAACACGUAUACCACCUCAGUCCGAACCGCGGAAUCUGUAUAAAACGAUGGAAGCAAGUUUUCUGAUCGAGUAAUAUACGAACCUUUCAGAAGCGGAAACUGGCCAACUCCUCUGUACAUUAAAUUUCUUAAUUUCAUUACACGAACACUCGAUCGAUAUUCAAGUUUCAAGAAACAAAUUACUUACCAACAAAUUAUUUAGAUGACACAAGUAACGGCAUACUGUAAGGUAAAUUUCAAGAACAUGCAGUUUCAUAGAUGUGUGUAAUUUCGAACGAGAUGAAAGCGAGAAGCUGCGGAGCAAACACGACAUCUUGAAAACUGGUUUUAACCCUAAAGACCGCGGCUCGUUUAAGAAUGUCACGAUUUUAUUAAACGCCGCCGUGUCGAACGAAAGACAACUUGUCCGAUCGCGGCCUGGCCGCCUGUUUGUAACGUCCAUUGCUUCUACGUACUUACUUUUCAAUUUAUGCGAUUGAUCAAUGUGACUUCUGAAACGCUCGAUUGCCACGUAUGAUACGCUUUCUCGAGAGUGGGGUAAAAAUCGGUCUGUUUGAUUUGAUAAAAGCUUGGAAGCGUAGUUUGUAGACGGACGUGAAGGGUCCGUGGUAAUUGGCGAUCGUUGGUGAUCGUUGGUGAUCGUCGGGACACGUGGCAAAGCACGAGACCGACGGAAUGUGAACUGUUGGAUGUGGCUACUAGCGACAAAGACGUCCUGAACUCUAUCUCGACGACAUUCCACUGCGUGAAUCGCUUACUGAUUGUCUACUGUGUCGAGAGGCGAUGAGUUGGAUCGCGCGAGGUUUGUUUCGCCAGAUUAUGAACGAAAAGGCCGUGUAUACGAUGGAUGCGUAUUCGGGCGAGCUAACCGGUCUGGCGAAUGAAACAUCCGAAGACUGCAAUGCUGACCGUCCGUUUAUGACUGGGACAGCGCACCUGCCUUUUUUGGAAAAAUCCGAAUUUCCUACCUCUCAAGUAAACUUUACGCUGCGGACCUCAUCAAGAGGUUAAUUAACAGCCUAAGGGCUCCUUGAGUCCGUUCUAAAAUACACAUCUGGUAUCAAUCUGCACCAUCAGAGGAUAUGCGCCCACGAGGGUACAGAGUUACAAGACUGGAAGGAAUAAUUUCCAUCCCAUAAAAAACACGGUAAGAAGGAAAACCCAGGGACCGAGAGUUAGUACAUAAGGAUCAAGCGAAGCUUCUUGAGAAGUCUUAAAACGAUCUUCGUCACAGCGUCAUACUGUUCGUGUUACUAAAGCAGUGCAGCUAAAUUAACUAAACAUAACAUUAUUCUGCAUCUAAACUUGCUGGCGAUUCUUUUGGUGUAUACUAAAGAGUGGAAAUAAAUAAACUAAACAUACUA
Long non-coding RNA from Bombus terrestris (buff-tailed bumblebee), 1426 nucleotides. RefSeq lists it as uncharacterized. The transcript is spliced from 2 exons. NCBI's taxonomy places the organism in Eukaryota, Metazoa, Arthropoda, Insecta, Hymenoptera, Apidae. The record is from RefSeq and is a predicted model, not a curated record.